UAAAAACUGUUUAUUAUCAAGAUCAGACUGGAUAAUAUCACCACGAGUACCACAAAGGUCAGUUCAUGUAUUACUGAAUAAACCACUAACAACCACAUGACUGUAUUAAGAAUCCAUCUAUAUAUACUCCUACUCUGAAUGUCGUAGUGCGUUCACAUUUAUACAGAACAUUUUACAAUAAUCGUUUAUCUCCUGGCGCUGAAAGUGCUACAGGUUAAUGCAGAAAAAUAUUUCUGGUGCUUAUAUGGGACAAACAGGUUUGUGCUCAUGGAUUCAGCCUGAAAACACGGUGAGUGUGUUCCUGGUAGGAUCAUCAGGUUUCUAGCAUGGAAUAAAACAUUUUAUAGCACUGUAUUAAUUCUUUAGUAUUCACAGGACUGCUAAAACAUCAUUACAAAUGAUAAUCAUAUUAAAGAGCUUUUCCAGGAGUUCAAGAUUGAUGUUCUAUCCUCAGAAUAGGUUCCCAAUAUCUGAUUAGCGGGGGACUCUGACAGCCAGCAUUCCCACCGAAGAGGUAGUGUGCUCCGCUGAGCACUAUGGCCUCCUCACAGCUUACCAAGCACAGUGCUGUACCUUGUAUAUUGGCUGUGCUUUGUAUUGCAGCCUAGGCCCAGUUGCUUGAAUGUGCCUGAGCUGCAAAUAGACCAGGACCAGGUGACCAAUGAACGUGAUGCCACUGGCCGAGGAAGAGCCGUAGCCUCUUCAAACAUGGGCAUGGGUGCCAGGACUCAAUGAUCGGACACUGACCUAUCCUGAGGAUAGGCCAUCAAUACUGAACUUAAGAAAAAGCCCAUUAAAAGGGGUGGUUCAGGUUCAGAGCUGAACCCGGACAUAUCCCCUUCCCCCAUUCAGCCCCUCUGACACGAGCAUCGAAGCAUUUCGUGCUCCCAUGCUUUCCCUUACUUUUUGUUUUAUUUUAACACUGCUAGGCAGAGGCUUCUGCCUAGCAGUGUUCCCGGUGACGUCACCAGCACUGAUGGGCGGGCUUUAGCGUGGCCAUAGCCGUUUUACAGGCUAGGGCAGUGCUAAAGCCAGCCCAUUAGUGUCGGUGACGUCACCGGGCUCACUGCUAGACGGAAGUCUCCACCUAGCUUACCCAUGGAGAGCCCGGUACGUCACUGGAUCUCCACAAAAAGCCCUUUCCCUACUCGAUUCAGCGCAGGGCAAGGGAGAGCAUCGGAGCAUGAAAUGCCAGAGGAGCCGAGUGGGGGAAGAAGGGGAUAUGUUUGGGUUCAGCCUCUUCAACUAAGUUGAACUGUAGAUACAGGACUAUAUAUAUAUAAAAUAGUAUUUCACAAUAAAAGUCUCUAUAGAUCUAUAUGGAUAAAAAAGGAUGUUGAAAUGGUGUGCUUUUAUUACUCUAGAAGUAAUUUUUUGAAAAUAUCCAGAUCACGGCACUAUAUAACAUAACACCACUGUUCACAGUAUAGUCAUAAAAAGGUACAUAUAAAUGGUGGCAGGUUUGGGAGGGAACUCCCGUUCAUUGCUUUACUGCAUGUUGCAGUAUCUCAUGUACUGUGCAAAUGAGAUCAGUUUUGGCACACCAAUUAAUGGCUCCACUCCUCAGUGAUUACUGGCAGACCUUAUUUAACCUCCAGAUCCUGACUAGCAUUGAGCACUAUCAUGUAGAGCAUGACUGAACCGCUGGUCACCAGGAUCCAUACUCUGCAUGAAAUGGCAAUGACUACUAAAUACUGCAAGCCGCGUGUACCCAUGACUGCCAGUGAUCACUUCUGUUGGGUAAAUAAUCAAUUUGGUUGAAUUUGUCCUUUAGGAUCAACUACAGAAUAAUGUGUAUGUCCACCUUUAAAGGGGUUUUUCAGGAGUUUACUAUUGAUCACUUAUUCUCUGAAUAAGUUAUCAGUAUCUAAUUAGUGAGGGUUUGACACCCGGGACUAGGCUUGAGCGAAUAGACCUUCGUAUCAUGGACCUGAAGUCGAUUUGUUCAAAUACUUCAAUUAAAAUGCUGUCUCA
Long non-coding RNA from Bufo bufo (common toad), 1974 nucleotides. RefSeq lists it as uncharacterized. The transcript has 3 exons. The record is from RefSeq and is a predicted model, not a curated record. NCBI's taxonomy places the organism in Eukaryota, Metazoa, Chordata, Amphibia, Anura, Bufonidae.